RNAcentral lists this ribosomal RNA (717 nucleotides) under uncultured fungus. Its description in RNAcentral is "SSU rRNA". It matches the Rfam family "Eukaryotic small subunit ribosomal RNA", at positions 827 to 1570 of the family's 1831-position model. Lineage: Eukaryota; Fungi. The record is from RNAcentral.
CGUGUGGUUCUAUUUUGUUGGUUUCUAGGACCGCCGUAAUGAUUAAUAGGGACAGUCGGGGCAUCAGUAUUCAAUUGUCGGAGGUGAAAUUCUUGGAUUUAUUGAAGACUAACUACUGCGAAAGCAUUUGCCAAGGAUGUUAUCAUUAAUCAGGAACGAAAGUUAGGGGAUCGAAGACGAUCAGAUACCGUCGUAGUCUUAACCAUAAACUAUGCCGACUAGGGAUCGGACGGUGUUAUUUUUUGACCCGUUCGGCACCUUACGAGAGAUCAAAGUGCUUGGGCUCCAGGGGGAGUAUGGUCGCAAGGCUGAAACUUAAAGAAAUUGACGGAAGGGCACCACCAGGGGUGGAGCCUGCGGCUUAAUUUGGCUCAACACGGGGAAACUCACCAGGUCCAGACACAAUGAGGAUUGACAGAUUGAGAGCUCUUUCUUGAUUUUGUGGGUGGUGGUGCAUGGCCGUUCUUAGUUGGUGGAGUGAUUUGUCUGCUUAAUUGCGAUAACGAACGAGACCUUAACCUGCUAAAUAGCCCGUAUUGCUUUGGCAGUACGCUGGCUUCUUAGAGGGACUAUCGGCUCAAGCCGAUGGAAGUUUAAGGCAAUAACAGGUCUGUGAUGCCCUNAGAUGUUCUGGGCCGCACGCGCGCUACACUGACGGAGCCAGCGAGUACUUCCUUGUCCGAAAGGUCCGGGUAAUCUUGUUAAACUCCGUCGUGC